This 450-nucleotide ribosomal RNA is filed under the name Donacia japana. RNAcentral describes it as "partial 16S ribosomal RNA". Lineage: Eukaryota; Metazoa; Arthropoda; Insecta; Coleoptera; Chrysomelidae. The record is from RNAcentral.
GUCUUAUUGAUAAAUAAUUUUAAGUCUUGCCUGCCCUCUGUUUUAUGAAUGGCCGCAGUAUUUUGACUGUGCUAAGGUAGCAUAAUCAUUAGUUUUUUAAUUGAAAGCUAGAAUGAAUGGUGGUAUGAAAAAAUAACUGUCUCUUUUAUAUAAUUAAAAUUUUAUUUUUAAGUAAAAAAGCUUAAAUAAAAUUAAAAGACGAGAAGACCCUAUAGAAUUUUAUAAAACUUUAUUUUUAAUUAAUUAGAAAUAAAAAUUUAUUAAAUUAAUUUUUAUUUGAUUGGGGUGAUUAGAAAAUUAAAUAAUCUUUUCUUUAUAAUACCAUUAAUAUAUGAUUAUAUGAUUCAUUUAUAAUGAUUAAAGAAUUAAUUACCUUAGGGAUAACAGCGUAAUUUUUUUUUUAAGUUCAAAUUAGAAAGAAAGAUUGCGACCUCGAUGUUGGAUUAAAUU